AUUGAACGCUGGCGGGAUGCUUAACACAUGCAAGUCGAACGAGUGGCGGACGGGUGAGUAAUAUCUGGGAAGUGCCCGAUGGAGGGGGAUAACUACUGGAAACAGUGGCUAAUACCGCAUACUAUCGGAUAACCCAUAUGGGAUUAGCUAGUAGGUGGGGUAAUGGCUCACCUAGGCGACGAUCCCUAGCUGGUCUGAGAGGAUGAUCAGCCACACUGGGACUGAGACACGGCCCAGACUCCUACGGAGGCAGCAGUGGGGAAUAUUGCACAAUGGGCGCAAGCCUGAUGCAGCCAUGCCGCGUGUAUGAAGAAGGCCCUAGGGUUGUAAAGUACUUUCAGUCGGGAGGCGUUACCGACAGAAGAAGCACCGGCUAACUCCGUGCCAGCAGCCGCGGUAAUUC
This 403-nucleotide ribosomal RNA is filed under the name uncultured bacterium. Its description in RNAcentral is "partial 16S ribosomal RNA". It matches the Rfam family "Bacterial small subunit ribosomal RNA", at positions 30 to 526 of the family's 1533-position model. The record is from RNAcentral.